Molecule: ribosomal RNA, 260 nt
Filed under: uncultured bacterium
Lineage: Bacteria
Description: partial 16S ribosomal RNA
Rfam family: Bacterial small subunit ribosomal RNA
Source: RNAcentral
UUAUUCCUACGGGGGGCAGCAGUGAGGAAUAUUGGUCAAUGGGCGCGAGCCUGAACCAGCCAAGUCGCGUGAGGGAAGACGGUCCUAUGGAUUGUAACCCUCUUUUGUCGGGGAGCAAAAGACGCCACGUGCGGCGUUCCGAGAGUACCCUAAGAAAAAGCAUCGGCUGACUCCGUGCCAGCAGCCGCGGUAAUACGGAGGAUGCGAGCGUUAUCCGGAUUUAUUGGGUUUAAAGGGUGCGCAGGCGGAAGAUCAAGUCA